AGAGCGAACGCUGGCGGCGUGCUUAACACAUGCAAGUCGAACGCGCAGCAUUCUGUAGCAAUACAGGAUGUGGGCGCGUGGCGAACGGGUGCGUAACACGUGGAUAACCUUCCUUCAGGUGGGGAAUAACCCAGCGAAAGUUGGGCUAAUACCGCAUAACAUGACGAUGCCACAUGGUGUUGUCUUCAAAGGCGCAAGUCGCCAGAAGAGGGAUCCGCGGCCGAUUAGCUUGUUGGCGAGGUAAUGGCUCACCAAGGCAUUGAUCGGUAGCCGGACUGAGAGGUUGGCCGGCCACACUGGAACUGAGACACGGUCCAGACUCCUACGGGAGGCAGCAGUGGGGAAUCUUGCACAAUGGACGAAAGUCUGAUGCAGCAACGCCGCGUGGGGGAUGAAGCUUCUCGGAGUGUAACCCCUUUCGACCCGGACGAAUGCCCGCAAGGGUUUGACGGUACGGUAUAAGAAGCCCGGCUAACUACGCGCCAGCAG
Molecule: ribosomal RNA, 489 nt
Filed under: uncultured bacterium
Lineage: Bacteria
Description: SSU rRNA
Rfam family: Bacterial small subunit ribosomal RNA
Source: RNAcentral